UGGGGAAUUUUGGACAAUGGGCGAAAGCCUGAUCCAGCAAUGCCGCGUGUGUGAAGAAGGCCUUCGGGUUGUAAAGCACUUUCGUCCGGAAAGAAAUGGCUCUGGUUAAUACCUGGGGUCGAUGACGGUACCGGAAGAAUAAGGACCGGCUAACUACGUGCCAGCAGCCGCGGUAAUACGUAGGGUCCAAGCGUUAAUCGGAAUUACUGGGCGUAAAGCGUGCGCAGGCGGUUGUGCAAGACCGAUGUGAAAUCCCCGAGCUUAACUUGGGAAUUGCAUUGGUGACUGCACGGCUAGAGUGUGUCAGAGGGGGGUAGAAUUCCACGUGUAGCAGUGAAAUGCGUAGAGAUGUGGAGGAAUACCGAUGGCGAAGGCAGCCCCCUGGGAUAACACUGACGCUCAUGCACGAAAGCGUGGGGAGCAAACAGG
Molecule: ribosomal RNA, 429 nt
Filed under: Bacillota bacterium
Lineage: Bacteria; Bacillati; Bacillota
Description: Firmicutes bacterium partial 16S ribosomal RNA
Rfam family: Bacterial small subunit ribosomal RNA
Source: RNAcentral